RNAcentral lists this small RNA (129 nucleotides) under uncultured Cohnella sp. RNAcentral's name for it is "ydaO/yuaA leader". It matches the Rfam family "c-di-AMP riboswitch aptamer (ydaO/yuaA leader)", at positions 11 to 130 of the family's 134-position model. Rfam says of the family: This family represents a conserved RNA structure found upstream of the ydaO and yuaA genes in Bacillus subtilis and related genes in other bacteria. The ydaO/yuaA element is thought to act as a genetic "off" switch for the ydaO and yuaA genes in its native state. Lineage: Bacteria; Bacillati; Bacillota; Bacilli; Caryophanales; Paenibacillaceae. The record is from RNAcentral.
AAGCCAAAGUCUGCAGAGCAGACGCGGGGGAACCAAGUUUUCGGGGUGAAGCCGCUAAUCGAAGCUAUUGCGGCAGGGGCGCUCUUUGACCCGAACCCGUCAGCUAACCUCGCAGGCAAAACAAAGGGA